CCUACGGGUGGCAGCAGUGAGGAAUAUUGGUCAAUGGACGAGAGCCUGAACCAGCCAAGUAGCGUGAAGGAUGACUGCCCUAUGGGUUGUAAACUUCUUUUAUAUGGGAAUAACAUGUUCCACGUGUGGGAUUUUGUAUGUACCAUAUGAAUAAGGAUCGGCUAAAUCCGUGCCAGCAGCCGCGGUAAUACGGAGGGUCCGAGCGUUAUCCGGAUUUAUUGGGUUUAAAGGGAGCGUAGGUGGGUUGUUAAGUCAGUUGUGAAAGUUUGCGGCUCAACCGUAAAAUUGCAGUUGAAACUGGCAGUCUUGAGUACAGUAGAGGUGGGCGGAAUUCGUGGUGUAGCGGUGAAAUGCUUAGAUAUCACGAAGAACUCCGAUUGCGAAGGCAGCUCACUGGACUGCAACUGACACUGAGGCUCGAAAGUGUGGGUAUCGAACAGGAUUAGAUACCCCAGUAGUC
This 460-nucleotide ribosomal RNA is filed under the name uncultured bacterium. RNAcentral describes it as "partial 16S ribosomal RNA". It matches the Rfam family "Bacterial small subunit ribosomal RNA", at positions 338 to 795 of the family's 1533-position model. The record is from RNAcentral.